This 497-nucleotide ribosomal RNA is filed under the name uncultured bacterium. RNAcentral's name for it is "partial 16S ribosomal RNA". It matches the Rfam family "Bacterial small subunit ribosomal RNA", at positions 28 to 507 of the family's 1533-position model. The record is from RNAcentral.
GACGAACGCUGGCGGCGUGCCUAAUACAUGCAAGUUGAGCGAUGAAGAUUGGUGCUUGCACCAAUUUGAAGAGCAGCGAACGGGUGAGUAACGCGUGGGGAAUCUGCCUUUGAGCGGGGGACAACAUUUGGAAACGAAUGCUAAUACCGCAUAACAACUUUAAACAUAAGUUUUAAGUUUGAAAGAUGCAAUUGCAUCACUCAAAGAUGAUCCCGCGUUGUAUUAGCUAGUUGGUGAGGUAAAGGCUCACCAAGGCGAUGAUACAUAGCCGACCUGAGAGGGUGAUCGGCCACAGUGGGACUGAGACACGGCCCAAACUCCUACGGGAGGCAGCAGUAGGGAAUCUUCGGCAAUGGACGAAAGGCUGACCGAGCAACGCCGCGGGAGUGAAGAAGGUUUUCGGAUCGUAAAACUCUGUUGGUAGAGAAGAACGUUGGUGAGAGUGGAAAGCUCAUCAAGUGACGGUAACUACCCAGAAAGGGACGGCUAACUACGUG